Nematostella vectensis (starlet sea anemone) is the source of this 7472-nucleotide long non-coding RNA. RefSeq lists it as uncharacterized. The transcript has 2 exons. Lineage: Eukaryota; Metazoa; Cnidaria; Anthozoa; Actiniaria; Edwardsiidae. The record is from RefSeq and is a predicted model, not a curated record.
ACAUACCUGUUUGAACAGGAGACAAAUCACAGAAAAUAAACUCUACCCUUGCUGUAUACUAAUCUCAGAUGCUGUAUAAUUGUCUUGGUUCAUUCUUGGAAGUUACUGGAAGUCAAUAAAGACAUUACAAUGAAAAAUAUUUGCUAUUUUGUACAGAUUUCAGUUAAGAACGCCUGCCGGAAUGGCAAACUUUGAAGGAUUUGUUUGGGUUUUAAAGUUUCUUUACGCUCCAUUAAAGUAAAAGAUAUUCAAGUACGUCAGUUCUUACCUUCUCCCAAGAUGUUUCUGGGAAAAAGGCCGAUUUAUGAGAUUAAUUUCAAUGCAAAGGUCAAGUAAUUGAACACGAGUCUGGUUUCAGAUGACAACUGAUCAGCGGUCUACCAGAUGAGAAUGCGUGAAUUUCCAAAGGAAACCCGAUAUAAAGAAUAGUUCAACUAGUCGGCUUGCAGUUUUUAUUUUAGAUUGUUUCUUAUUUUAUGUUCUUCAUUCUAAAAAAAAACAUAUUAAUGAUGCCAAAAUUAUUUCAAAAAUUAAUAUGGGAUAUGUAUAUGCGUAUGCGAUACUUGACAUUAUCGUGUCACUCACAGCAGGCAAGAGACCAUGAUGUAUCAUGGUCUCUUGCAGCAGGACAUCACCCGAAAGUAUGAGAUAUCUCUUCUCAGCUGGCUCGUCUAUGUUGUGAAAGCGUAAUUCUAGAUAGGAAACACCAAUCUAAGAAUAAAACACAAAUACCACAAGCAAACAUGCUUCGUUGACAUAAGGGCAUAAGCUGGAAGAAUUGUCACACUCCCUCAAAGCGGCAUCCUGUUACAGUAACACCUCCGUCAGCCACAAAAGGCUUUAGGGCAACACAAAGAGAUCCCAUUAAUCUGCUUCUUAUAAAAUCAGGCAAGCUAGAAUUGUAAAUCAGAUGAUGCUUGAUAUUUUUCUUGAUCAUGACUACCUGUGAUUACACUGUUUGCGUGGGUGGUCCUUGUGGCCUUAGUGUCGAUUGCUCGAGCAAUUCAAAGUGCGUUCUUCUGAAAGACUGUAACAAGGAUAUUCAUGGACACAAGAAGCUGCUUAACAUAUCAGACAAGUCUCUUCAAACUGAGUUUGAACUUCUUCUUGCUAGAGCUGAUUGGAGUGUCAUCCAUCUAACAGUUGGACCCGACGUAUGGGUUCCAUUUACAAAGUUCCGCUGCACCGCGAUUUGGCCUUGAAGAGUCGGAAGUUUUCUUGUUACAUCAGGGAAGCCUAAAAGAUAAUAAAAAGAGAGUAAGUUUGCUUUGCUUGUAUCGUAUACCGACUUUAACGUAUUCACAAGAGUGAGUCAUUUUGUAAUUAGACGUAAAAUAUGUCUCUGGGGAUAUUGCAGGUGCCUGGAACAUUAUCACGUGAAGUGGGUUUAAUUCCAUUAAACUAAAGUGUGUCUUAAACUUAUUUUUGUUCUAUUUUUUUGUUGUUGUUGUUCUAUUUAGCCAUAGUUCACUUCGUCAAUAUACACUUUCCAAACCAUAACUUCUACCAAAAUGCUUAUUUCAUCCGAUAUUCAAUUGUAUUUAAACCUUCCAUACAUCACACAGAGUAAUAUUUUUCUACUAUCUGAUAAUGGAUUUUAACCCGGUAAUUGAUUCCAUUAACAAAGCUCUUAUCGAUAUUUUCGUUCAAAAGUUGAGGUUUUUGGAAGUAAAUAGUUAAGAUAGCGACCGCCCCUUUAUUGUGAUUACUUUUGCUUGAGGUUGUCAGCACCAAUGAUCACCGUUACGUGUAAGGCAGCGAAGGCAUUUAUUAUUGAUUAAGGAAGUGGCGGGCUAUAGCCCUCCCUCACAUUCUUAACCACGUUGCAAGUUUAAUGAAAAUUGUUCAUGUUCAUAUUGUCAAACAUUUAUAUUUAGACAACAAAUUGCGGUCGCUAAAUGACUGCCCCCAUUCUUUUAAAUGCGUUGAAUUGUUUUUCUUUUUCUUUAACUGAUGUGUAAAGAUGCCGAAUGCAAGUCUGUAUUCCCGCAUUCGGGCCUAUAAGAUACAUUCUAUAUUGGUGUGACGAGUGGAGGGCGCCCAUUUCUCUCAAGGGACAGUAAUAAUGAUUAAGGGACAGCAGAGCAGCCCCAUCAUGCCAAAUGGCCUGCGCAUUUGAUACCUCUAUUAACAGCCCAAACGCGCCCCCUAAAAAUAGUUUUUGUACUUAAUUUCACAGUACUUAAUUUACUUAAACUGUAUUUUUGCCUCACACAUGAAAUUUCCAUUGAUAUUUGUGAGCAUUUUAGUCAUAUCCAGACACUCCUAGGCGUGAUCCCUAGACGCAGAAAUAUAAUUACCUCAAUAUGCCAAAGAAUGGCCCGCUCACUCCUUCGCUUUUUCGUCUAGUUGUACCUAAGACAUAGUUGUACCUGAGACCCGAGCAAGCAUAAAAAAAUACUGCUUAACUAACUACUGGUUUUCACAUACAUCAUAUGCAAAUUACACUGCCUACGCAUUUUCAAUAUCCUACACUCAUUGGCUACCGGAACCUCUUAUUAAAAAAAAUUGUUAAUCUUAACAAAGAUUGUUGCAAUCUCUUUUGGGCGUAGAUGUGCGUCAUUCGCAAAUUCAUAUUUUCAUUCCUUUUCAAUUUUCCUUAAGGCUGAAAAAGGAAUCUUGUGGGUUCCAUAGAAUGUCAAUGGACUGUAAAAUAUCAAUGACUGUGUCAAAAGAGAUCGUCAAUUGCCUCUCUAUUUUCGUUCCCAAUAGUAUUUUGUGGUUAUUUAAAAUUAUUCAUUGCCAAAAAAAAAGAAAAGAAAAUUUGUAUGACAUACGCUUGGCUUGAUGGUUCUGGGUUUUUUUUGGAAAUUCAAAAUGCUAGUGUUGAUUGAAUAAACUUGCCAAAUAGCCAAUCACCUGUCGCUGAUGUUUAUCUAAGUCGACCACAUAUCUUUCACCUAUGCGCUUAAUAGUUUUUAAAUGAGAUACAUUCUAAACAGUAUUCUAGAUAAACUGCAAAUGGCAGUUCAUUAUUUAUUGAUAAGUUAGAUUCAAUGGAAAUACACAAACUGGCAGUUGCAAAAACUAGUUUUGUCUCGCCAGAGUCUAAUGAAUGAGUUGGAGCUGAACCCAUUCUAGUUUUGAUAGCGAGUCACAUCGUUGGAAGAGUACCGCCCUCAUGAAUGAGCAAUGCUAGCUUUAAUGAUGAUAGCAACAGUAAACCAGUAAUUAGAAUGCACGCCUUUUCUUGAUAAUGACUUUGAAAUAGUGUUCCGAUUAGAUACUAUACUAUGAGACCACAGGCAACUAGCUAUCCUCCAGUAGUCUUAUUGUGGUUAAUGCUUGAAGCAAUAUUUGUGUCUUUCCCUUGAAUCUAACUUGUCAAUAAAUAAUUGAAUGCCAUUUGUUGUUUUCAAGCCUCUGCAGUAUUUGAAGUUUAAAAAAUGUGUUUUCUUUUAUGUUAUCGCAGGUCGCUGCUCUUUAUCGAGUAUUAUAAUAAGGUGUUUUAUAGCUGGCAGGCCUUAAACCCCAGGGUUAAUAGCUUGACUUAUUUUCAAGUGAUAUUAUCUUAUGAACAUUGUUUUAAAGCCAACAUAUAAGCAUAUUUAACUUUGUAAAAUAUCAUAUUCUUUUCUACUUAUGAUGUUUGGCUCUACUUUUCGUUUUGUGUGUGAGUUUUUUUACUCUUGUAAUAUAUCGAUGGUCAAGAAUAAUUAUUCAAGUCGAAACGGCUAAGUCGCCACAGAAGAUAAUAAAAUCGCCACUCACACAUAUUGGAUAAAACGUUCAAGAAAUGACGUCCGCUUUUUCGCCUAAAAUACCUACUUGGUAUAAAAUAUGCUUUGCCAUGUGUAUCUGUAUGCGGUCUGAUCCGGUCUUUAUCCCGCCCUGCUGUGUUUAAAGCCCUAGAAGUACAGAAAAGCGUUGCUCUAUUGACUUGUAAUUCCUAUCGUGCCACCUGCUACAAAGCCUCGCGAGGCAUACACGGCGUGAACACCUCGCCUUUUAGAACGCUAUAAAUAAUAUCAGCGCUUGUGGUUAUUCCAUAACCCUAGUUUCUCUAACGCUGCUAUUGUGUUGCGUAUUCUACUUUUACUGGGGUAGUUUGAUCCGCGGAUUAAGGGUUAUCCAUCGAGUAUGACCAAAACACCGUUCUCAAGUCCGCUUUAUUCAAAAUACAAGCUAAAAAAUUUAAUUUAUUGAAAAUAGUUUAACUAAGAAUGACGCUAUAUCUUUUUUGCAUAUCUUUUUAGUUGAGUUUCCGAUUUUUUCACAUUUGUAUUCCAAAGAUUUUAUUAAUCUCACUUUCAAAUUCAUUCACAAUCGUUAGAGAAGUUUCCUUUUUUAUUUCAAUAUCUCUCCGAUGAUUAUUCUUGACGUUUUGCGAUUUUAAAGCAAACACAUACCCUUAUAAGCCAAUUCCUGGUUUCCUUGUUUGUUCUACAAUAAGCGAUCUAGGAACAAAAAAUAAAUUCAUGUAAGCUAGCCGACAGAUGAGAAGCCCUGUCUGAGUGCGGAUUUUAUUGUAUUCAAAGGUUGGUAUGUUCGCGCUCUUGCAACGUCCUUCUUCUAUACUUACAUAGCGUUGCGCCUCUUUGAUUAUAUCACGUUAUGCUUGCUACGCUCCAUGCCCCUCUUCUUCUAUGCUUACAUAGUGUUGUACCUCUAUGAUUAUAUCACGUUAUGCUUGCUACGCUCCAUGCCCCCCUUCUUCUAUGCUUACAUAGUGUUGCGCCUCUAUGAUUAUAUCUUGUUAUGCUUGCUACACUCCAUGCCCCCUCUUCUUCUAUGCUUACAUAGCGUUGCGCCUCUAUGAUUAUAUCACGUUAUGCUUGCUACACUCCAUGCCCCUCUUCUUCUAUGCUUACAUAGUGUUGCGCCUCUAUGAUUAUAUCACGUUAUCCUUGCUACAUUCCAUGCCCCUCUUCUUCUAUGCUUACAUAGCGUUGCGCCUCUAUAAUUAUAUCACGUUAUGGUUGCUACAUUCCAUGCCCGUCUUCUUCUAUGCUUACAUAGCGUUGCGCCUCUAUGAUUAUAUCACGUUAUGCUUGCUACAUUCCAUGCCCCUCUUCUUCUAUGCUUACAUAGCGUUGUACCUUUAUGAUUAUAUCUUGUUAUGCUUGCUACGCUCCAUGCCCCUCUUCUUCUAUGCUUACAUAGUGUUGUGCCUCUAUGAUUAUAUCACGUUAUGCUUGCUACGCUCCAUGCCCCCCUUCUUCUAUGCUUACAUAGCGUUGUACCUCUAUGAUUAUAUCUCGUUAUGCUUGCUACAUUCCAUGCCCCUCUUCUUCUAUGCUUACAUAGUGUUGCGCCUCUAUGAUUAUAUCACGUUAUGCUUGCUACACUCCAUGCCCCUCUUCUUCUAUGCUUACAUAGUGUUGCGCCUCUAUAAUUAUAUAUCACGUUAUGCUUGCUACACUCCAUGCCCACUCUUCUUCUAUGCUUACAUAGUGUUGUACCUCUAUGAUUAUAUCUUGUUAUGCUUGCUACGCUCCAUGCCCCCCCUUCUUCUAUGCUUACAUAGUGUUGCGCCUCUAUGAUUAUAUCACGUUAUGCUUGCUACACUCCAUGCCCCUCUUCUUCUAUGCUUACAUAGCGUUGCGCCUCUAUGAUUAUAUCACGUUAUGCUUGCUACACUCCAUGCCCCUCUUCUUCUAUGCUUACAUAGCGUUGUACCUCUAUGAUUAUAUCACGUUAUGCUUGCUACACUCCAUGCCCCUCUUCUUCUAUGCUUACAUAGUGUUGCGCCUCUAUAAUUAUAUAUCACGUUAUGCUUGCUACACUCCAUGCCCACUCUUCUUCUAUGCUUACAUAGUGUUGUACCUCUAUGAUUAUAUCUUGUUAUGCUUGCUACGCUCCAUGCCCCCCCCUUCUUCUAUGCUUACAUAGUGUUGCGCCUCUAUGAUUAUAUCACGUUAUGCUUGCUACAUUCCAUGCCCCUCUUCUUCUAUGCUUACAUAGCGUUGCGCCUCUAUGAUUAUAUCACGUUAUGCUUGCUACACUCCAUGCCCCUCUUCUUCUAUGCUUACAUAGCGUUGUACCUCUAUGAUUAUAUCACGUUAUGCUUGCUACACUCCAGCCCCUCUUCUUCUAUGCUUACAUAGCGUUGCGCCUCUAUGAUUAUAUCUUGUUAUGCUUGCUACCCUCCAUGCCCCUCUUCUUCUAUGUUUACAUUGCGUUGCGCCUCUAUGAUUAAAUCACGUUAUAAAAAUCUCGUUGCGCUCAAGCUUCCGUUCUCAUUUAAACCCUUGGGGAUUUGUUGUUCCGAAAAUGUGUUUUAUCGAUCCUUUAAUAGAAAGGCAAGUUUUAAUCCAUUAACCUGCUAGCCGGCUCUCAUUCGGGGUUAUUGGAAAAUGUUAUGUUUCUAAAUAGUUGGAACCCUGUGGCGCCCACAGGCUUCCCGAUAAUCGAAAACAAAAUAGUUCCGACUAGCCCAGAAUGCAACGAGAGCCGGCUAGCCCUGAUGCCCAGGACAUCAUUAUAUAAAUUGGGGCAUAAUUAAUUUCAUCGCCUCAGAAUUCAAGACCCUUGAGUGUUACUCGUAUGACGUGCGUGACCGUAGAAAAGAGUUUUGGAGUAAUUAUUACCAGUACACUCUCGUGGGUAAAGCAAACUCGUGUUGUUGUAUCAAGAGCGAACAGCAUGCUGGGACUGCUGAAGCGGGCAGGGCCGCGCUCACAAACGAGGCGGUCAGAAGGACCUUGUAUUUAUCGAAGGGCCUUUAAUUAACUGCCACUUGAUGGCUCCUUCUCGCUGUACCACCGCAUGUGACUUAUAGAAUUCAAGCAACCAAGCCUGUUCUUGAUAUGGUUUAAAGGAAGGGUUAUAUUUCUUAAGCCCUGUGCAAACUGCGCUAGUACCCGCUAGCCUUGCUGUGCCAACAAUACUGGCGGAGUACUGGGCCGGAGUUAGGCCGGUGUGCAAACUGCCCCAGCACAUCGCAAGCAUUUGAUGCAUGACGGGAACAAAGGCAACCUAAGACCUUUUGUUUUCCAAAGGCAACCUACGAUUUCGGUGGAUUCCAUUGGAAUUCAGGUCUAUUUCGUGUUGUAUAGCGGUCGCCAUUUUAACAGAGGACGAUAAAAACAAUGAAUUUAAUCUGAUAAUUAAUAAGUAGAACGUGGGAUUGUGCUCUGCAUGAUACAUUUCGGACAAAUCGGCCAUGUUUUCUUUAAUUAUGGUGCGGUAACGUUUAUUUCAUUUGAAAUGCCAAUAUUAUUUGGACAAAAGCUAUUUUUCGCUAUGAAAACGAUGGGUUCGUGUGCAAGCUGCGCCAGCAAAGCUGCGAUAUGCUCGAAUGACCACGAGACAAAGAAAAUGCUGGCGAAGUGCUGGCCAAAUGUUUUAAUUCGAUCAAAAUUUUGCCAGCACCAGCCAGCACCUCCCAACAAGGUGUCCAAACUGCGCCAACAUUGCUGGGGCAGCGAUUCGCUGGUGGCUCUACCCAGUGUUCCCGCCAUCACACCGUCCAUCUUUGAAAACGCAGUGCGCGAAGAAAUGGAUUCAGAUUCCAUAUCCAAUACACCAAA